This 234-nucleotide ribosomal RNA is filed under the name uncultured bacterium. Its description in RNAcentral is "partial 16S ribosomal RNA". It matches the Rfam family "Bacterial small subunit ribosomal RNA", at positions 118 to 347 of the family's 1533-position model. The record is from RNAcentral.
UGAGAAACAUGACUUUCGGCGGGGGAUAGCCGGCCCAACGGCCGGGUAAUACCGCGUACGACCUUUUGGGGACAUCUCCGAUUGGUGAAAGCAGCAAUGCACCGAAAGAGUGCCUCGCGGCCUAUCAGCUAGUUGGUGAGGUAACGCUCACCAAGGCGACGAUGCGUAGCCGACCUGAGAGGGUNAUCGGCCACAUUGGAACUGAGACACGGUCCAGACCUCCGUACGGGGAGG